GCUAGUUUUUGAAUUCUAACCAUUGGGGCUUGUCCAAUGGAUGUAGGAGACUAUUUAAAGUGGCACUAUUCAUCAGAUAGAACAACUUUUGAAAGGAAUAUCAAAGAGUACACAAGAAAACAAAAGUGCCCUAAUCUUCUUCAUCCAAGUGCUUCAUUCAAGAAUCAAAGAAAGGGGUUGAGCAGAUUCAAAGAGUCAUCAAG
RNAcentral lists this long non-coding RNA (203 nucleotides) under Phoenix dactylifera (date palm). Its description in RNAcentral is "long non-coding RNA (PDAC_LNC022039)". The record is from RNAcentral. Lineage: Eukaryota; Viridiplantae; Streptophyta; Magnoliopsida; Arecales; Arecaceae.